GUGUUCCUUCUCCUAGCACUCAGAUUUUACCUGCUGUUUCGCAUCACUGUAUUGCCAGGAGUGAGAAACAAAAACUCACUGGUGGCACAGGGACAGCAUCAAAACCACUUUUGAAAUGUGUUUCAUAACUCAAUACGAAAUUUUGUUUCACAUAAAACAUUUCUGGAAUUAUGGACUUCAAAGUAAAAAUGUGAGUUUGCAAAUAUGAAACUCAUGUUUAAUUGCCUUCAGUCAUAUAUACACGUGUACCUGUAUACUAUUUAAUAUGCAAACAUGUAUCAUGUAAAAGUGUUAUGUUACGUGGGUAAUUCUUUUAUGAUUGUGAAUUUUUCAUUUUGAUAGAAUUCAAAUUAACAUACUUGAUUGUAUAAUAUGUAUAGAUAUUAUCCCUAAGAUGAUCAAGUACUGAUUUUUUUUCCCCAAAAACAUUGAAAAGAAUUAAAGUUAACAGUUUUGCAAAUAUGUUUAUCAGGUCUCAAGUUAUUUUUAGUAUGUAUUUUUCUGCUAAAAUUUGGGCAAUAGGUGGCUCUCAUUUUUCAGUAAAAAAAACUAUACAAAGUUUAUUUAAUCUUAUAAAUGUCCCUGUGCUAUAAUGGUAGCUGGUAAGCUUUGUUUUCCAGAAAGCAUCAUGCUUUAGCCAGGUAAAAAUAUACAGAUGUUUGGAAGGAUCUAUAAGGAAAAAUGCCAGUCAUGGGAAAUUCAGCCCCUGUGGUAGUAUAAGCCAGGGGAAAUAUUUCCAGUAUGUUUACACGAAGAGGUUUUGGCAUUCUCAAAUGGUAAUUUCCUAUUCUUCUUUCCCCUAGGAUAUCCUAAAAAUAUCCCCCAUGAGGGAUUAUUUACUAUUAACAUAAAUUGCUUUCAGCUGUGAAUAUUAAAUGACAAAUAAUGAGCAGCAGCGAUGGCAUGCAAUGUCUCUUACUAGUUAACCAGAAUACAAGUUUGGUCUGGUGUCUAACACAGUUUGCAUCGCAAUGGGCUCAGCGGCCCAGAGACCCGUCCUGCCGUCACGUUCCCACUUCCCAGAUGUCUAGUUCAAGUGGACCCGGCGGAGCUGCGCAUCCUGGGAGCGAACGGUCGAGGCCCCCGAUGCCUGCUGCGCGCGUUCCCUGCGCUCUUCUUCCAGAAUCCGGACGGAGCCACCGAGGGCCGCAGGGCAGGUGACGGGGGGACUCCCAGGGGGGCGCCUGCUGCUGUCCGAGGCAAGUCCCCACCUGCCUCAGGUGCCCCGGCCCCUCCCGGCCGCGCUGGACCGCGGGGCCCCGAGGCUCCCGGGCUGCGGCCAGGCCCCGCCCCGCCCCCUGCCCUCCCCGCAGCAGUGCGGGGCUCACCUCGCCGCGUGCCUCUGCUUUCCCUCGAGCACCCCGGCAGGUGGCCGAUCUGCUGGAAGCCGGACGUACCCAGCCUGCGGCGGGGCGGAGGCGGCUGCGCCCGAGCCCGAGCCCGAGCCCC
RNAcentral lists this long non-coding RNA (1449 nucleotides) under Vulpes vulpes (red fox). Its description in RNAcentral is "lncRNA (ENSVVUG00000008160.1)". Lineage: Eukaryota; Metazoa; Chordata; Mammalia; Carnivora; Canidae. The record is from RNAcentral.